AACGAACGCUGGCGGCAUGCCUAACACAUGCAAGUCGAACGAUUGCCUUCGGGUGAUAGUGGCGCACGGGUGCGUAACGCGUGGGAAUCUGCCCUUAGGUUCGGAAUAACAGCUGGAAACGGCUGCUAAUACCGGAUGAUAUCGCGAGAUCAAAGAUUUAUCGCCUGAGGAUGAGCCCGCGUUGGAUUAGGUAGUUGGUGGGGUAAAGGCCUACCAAGCCGACGAUCCAUAGCUGGUCUGAGAGGAUGAUCAGCCACACUGGGACUGAGACACGGCCCAGACUCCUACGGGAGGCAGCAGUGGGGAAGAUUGGACAAUGGGCGCAAGCCUGAUCCAGCAAGGCCGCGUGAGUGAUGAAGGCCCUAGGGUUGUAAAGCUCUUUUACCCGGGAAGAUAAUGACUGUACCGGGAGAAUAAGCCCCGGCUAACUCCGU
RNAcentral lists this ribosomal RNA (434 nucleotides) under uncultured bacterium. RNAcentral's name for it is "partial 16S ribosomal RNA". It matches the Rfam family "Bacterial small subunit ribosomal RNA", at positions 29 to 506 of the family's 1533-position model. The record is from RNAcentral.